This 273-nucleotide long non-coding RNA is filed under the name Lathyrus oleraceus (garden pea). RNAcentral's name for it is "Pisum sativum (pea) long non-coding RNA (PSAT_LNC036210)". The record is from RNAcentral. Lineage: Eukaryota; Viridiplantae; Streptophyta; Magnoliopsida; Fabales; Fabaceae.
CAUGUGAUACUUUUAGUUUUGCGGAACGGGUUAUUGUUUCUCUUGAUUUGGAGAAUGAGUUGUAUCAAAAGUUAUUGUUUCUCUUGAUUUGGAGAAUGAGUUGUAUCAAAAGCUUUCACUGCCUUUUUAUGAUACGCCGUUUGAAGUCUCCAUUACCUUGGGGGUGUUGAGGGGUUGUUUGUCCUUCCUUUCUUAUGGUGACAAGUUUUCUAAUGUUUGGAUUAUGAAGGAAUAUGGGAAUGAAAAGUCUUGGACCAAAUUGUUUAGUGUUCC